This 1393-nucleotide long non-coding RNA is filed under the name Mus musculus (house mouse). Its description in RNAcentral is "RIKEN cDNA 1700029J03 gene". Lineage: Eukaryota; Metazoa; Chordata; Mammalia; Rodentia; Muridae. The record is from RNAcentral.
GGAAAAGGGCCAAACUCUGCAGGGUGAUCCGCUCCACUCGCACUGUUGAGUUUUGAGAGAUUUAUUUUAAACACAGGCAUUUAUGUGGGAGAAAGGUUCACCUUCAUGUCUUCUGUUUUCUUUGUCAGUGAAGAUGCAAUUAUGAAGGCGGAAAAGGCACCCGAGUGAGGUCUUUGCAGAUCCUGGCAGGCUUCGUUCCUUUGAUCCUGGCAGAUGUACUUCCAUUGUCUCAGCCAGGAAGCAGACCCUGGAGCAGAUGUGGUCUCAUAGCUCAGGGUUGGGUUUCAAAUGCCUUACACCAACCCAUACCUAUUUGCUGAGCUCCAGACCUGGUUUGCAACAGCAUACAGAGAACCUGCACCGUGGAUGAAGGAUGAACUCCUCACAUCUACCUGUUGGAACAGAGCUCAGUUGCCCCCAGCACUUGACUCUUCUUUCCCUUUCUGAGUGGAAGUUGGUAGUGUUGUCUUCCAUUGCGUUCCUAUAUACUCUUCUCAUUCCAGCUCUGGUCACGAGAGAUCUCUUGUUUGCUCAUGCUCAUGCUAUCAGUGACAUUCCAGGUUUCUGAUUUCUUUCCUGGGGUCAACUGCCUCACCCCAGACCCUCCUCUAGAUGGCUGAUCUUCACUGUCCACUUGACCGGAUUUUGAAGCACCUGAGAGACACACUGCUGGGCAUAUCUACAAGGAUGUUUCCAGAAAAGAUUGAUUGGAGGGUGAAGGUCCACUCUUAGUGUAGGCAGCAGACAGCAGCUUGCAAUGGAGAGCCCAGAGAGAGAGAGAGAAGAAAAGCAGGAUUGGGCCUUCCCAUUUUUCCAAGAGCACUGAGUACGUCUACAUGUGCCCGUGAUCCUCCAUGACAUGACUCCAGCUUCUUCAGCCUUCAUGGUAGACUGAAUGGCAGCCACUCCUUGAGUCGUUUCUAGGCUCUCAGUGCUACAUCAGGACUGCUGAACCCUAUAGCCUCCAGCUACUGGGCUUUCUGCCUCGUGGGUAUUGAUAGACAGUGAGGAGUCCAUGUGUUGGAAGCCUGGUCCUGGGUGUGAUAUUAUUGGGAAGUUGUGUGGCACUUUCCAGGGAUUGGGCUUAGUAUAUACUGGGCCAUCAAAUGCUGCUCUCUGAAGAGAGUAGUUUAGUUCUUAUGAAUUUAUUAGAGUUGUGCAAUGGCCCUGAUUCAGUUGUGUAAGAAGGUUGUUGUAGAGGGAAGGAUGUGGACCCCCCUUUAUCUCUGGCUUCCUGACUCCAGUAGGUAUCUUCCUGUCUUGUGUACUACAGCCACGUGCCAUCUCCAGUGAUGUAAUGAAUCUGGAGGGCCCUAUAAGAGCCAGUGAAUACCUGCUGUUAGGACUUACCGCCUUUGCGACCAUAAACUCAAUAAACCUGUUUUCUUUAUGC